Molecule: ribosomal RNA, 117 nt
Filed under: Deltaproteobacteria bacterium
Lineage: Bacteria; Pseudomonadati; Myxococcota; Myxococcia
Source: RNAcentral
CUUGGUGACCAUAGCGAAGGGGAAACACCCGUUCCCAUUCCGAACACGGAAGUUAAGCCCUUCAGCGCCGAUGAUACUGCACGGGAAACCGUGUGGGAAAGUAGGACGUCGCCAAGA